RNAcentral lists this ribosomal RNA (18 nucleotides) under Colletotrichum kahawae. RNAcentral describes it as "partial 18S ribosomal RNA". The record is from RNAcentral. RNAcentral also lists the same sequence under 4 other names. Lineage: Eukaryota; Fungi; Ascomycota; Sordariomycetes; Glomerellales; Glomerellaceae.
CGGAGGGAUCAUUACUGA